Molecule: ribosomal RNA, 420 nt
Filed under: uncultured bacterium
Lineage: Bacteria
Description: bacterial SSU rRNA
Rfam family: Bacterial small subunit ribosomal RNA
Source: RNAcentral
UGGGGAAUCUUGCGCAAUGGGCGAAAGCCUGACGCAGCCACGCCGCGUGGGUGAUGAAGGCCUUCGGGUCGUAAAGCCCUGUCGGGAGGAACGAAAGCCUGCUUAUGCAGGCCUGACGGUACCUCGCAAGAAAGCGCCGGCUAACUCCGUGCCAGCAGCCGCGGUAAUACGGAGGGCGCAAGCGUUGCUCGGAAUCACUGGGCGUAAAGCGCACGCAGGCGGUCUGAUAAGUCGGAUGUGAAAUCCCCAGGCUCAACCUGGGAACUGCAUUCGAAACUGCCAGACUUGAGUAUUGGAGAGGGAAGCGGAAUUCCUGGUGUAGAGGUGAAAUUCGUAGAUAUCAGGAGGAACAUCGGUGGCGAAGGCGGCUUCCUGGCCAAAUACUGACGCUCAUGUGCGAAAGCGUGGGGAGCAAACAGG